RNAcentral lists this unclassified non-coding RNA (250 nucleotides) under plant metagenome. RNAcentral describes it as "partial contains small subunit ribosomal RNA, internal transcribed spacer 1, and 5.8S ribosomal RNA". The record is from RNAcentral.
GUAGGUGAACCUGCGGAAGGAUCAUUACAAAUCUUUGUCUUGCCUAGGUGUAGGCAGGCAGGUCUCUGGCCUGUCUGCCUACUCACUAGCAGACACAUAUGCACAGGGCCGCAAGGCUCUGAUGUUUACGCUUGUUUGUUUGACAGAUUUAUAUGUGACUAAAACUUGACAACUUUUAACAAUGGAUCUCUUGGCUCUUGCAUCGAUGAAGAAGGCAGCAUCUGACUGACUCGACAGCUGACAAUCUCGU